UGCGGUCACACUGGUAACACGGAACGCGGCAAAAACGACGAAAUUUCAUGAAAUAAAUAAUUGCGAAAUCAUCAAUAAAAGUCAAAGUGGUUUUGGCAACAAACGUGCGCAGAGAAUUUAACUGUGAAAGUGAAAACGUGACAGUACGAAGAACGAAACGAACGAACGAGGCAAGCAAAACAAAAAACCCGCGUGUGUGUGUAAAAAUAAAAAGACGGAAAACAGAAACGCAGCAGAACACAAGAGAGAGAAAGGAAAAAAAAAAGAUAAAAAUAAUCAACGAACGAAGGGACAAGGUAGCCCUCAGGCGAAUACAAGGAGAACAACAAAAAACACAAAAAACAACAUCGAAAAUUGACAGAUACAACUUGGGGUUUUUUUUUUGAGGCAUUCAAU
Drosophila subobscura is the source of this 396-nucleotide long non-coding RNA. RefSeq lists it as uncharacterized. Lineage: Eukaryota; Metazoa; Arthropoda; Insecta; Diptera; Drosophilidae. The record is from RefSeq and is a predicted model, not a curated record. The transcript is spliced from 3 exons.